GUUGAGUAAAGAUGGAGAGGACACUGUGGUGCUGCUUUACUGUUGCCUUCUAUGUCAUCUGGAGCCGUGGCAUAAAUGUUAGUAAGGUUAAGCUUCAGUCUGUCAGGGCACUCUUUAUUUACAGUCAGGCUGGGUGAUAUCACUAGAUCUAGCAUUUCCUUAUACCUGCUUGCUGGGGAAGCAGCCUGGCCACGGUGGCAUCGAGGUGUUUUGCUUCUGUGCCCUACUCUUUCUCUUUCCUCCCCC
RNAcentral lists this long non-coding RNA (246 nucleotides) under Gallus gallus (chicken). Lineage: Eukaryota; Metazoa; Chordata; Aves; Galliformes; Phasianidae. The record is from RNAcentral.